GAUGAACGCUGGCGGCGUGCUUAAUACAUGCAAGUCGAGCGAACGGGCCAGAAUCUUGCUUCUCUGAUGUUUGCCGCGGGCGUGAGAGUCACACGUGGAUACCCUACCUAUAAGUCUGGGAAAAUUUCGGGAAACCGGCGCUAAUACCGGAUAAUCUUUUGAACCGCAUGGUUCAAAAGUGAAAUACGGUCGUUCUGUCAGUUAUCGAUGGAUCUGCGCUGCAUUAGCUAGUUGGUAAGGUAACGGCUUACCAAGGCUACGCUGCGUAGCCGAACGGAGAGGGGGAUCGGCCACACUAGAGCUGAGACGCGGUCCAGGCUCCUACGAGAGGCAGCAGUAGGGAAUCUGCCGCAAUGGGCGAAAGUCUGACAGAGCAACGCCGCGUGAGUGAUGAAGGUCUCCGGAUCGUAAAACUCUGUUACUAGGGAAAAACAGAUGUGUAAGUAACUGUGCACAGCUUGACGGUACCUAAUCAGAAAGCCACGGCUAACUACGUG
This 497-nucleotide ribosomal RNA is filed under the name uncultured bacterium. RNAcentral describes it as "partial 16S ribosomal RNA". It matches the Rfam family "Bacterial small subunit ribosomal RNA", at positions 28 to 507 of the family's 1533-position model. The record is from RNAcentral.